UGAGGAAUUUUGCGCAAUGGCCGCAAGGCUGACGCAGCAACGCCGCGUGGGUGAUGAAGGCCUUCGGGUCGUAAAGCCCUGUCAGGUGGGAAGAAAGGCCUGGAGAGGAAAGGUUUCAGGUUUGACGGUACCACCAGAGGAAGCACCGGCUAACUCCGUGCCAGCAGCCGCGGUAAUACGGAGGGUGCGAGCGUUAUUCGGAAUUACUGGGCGUAAAGCGCGUGUAGGCGGGGGGACAAGUCUGAUGUGAAAGCCCUGGGCUUAAACUGGGAAGUGCAUUGGAAACUGUUGUUCUUGAGUACUGGAGAGGAAGGGGGAAUUCCCGGUGUAGAGGUGAAAUUCGUAGAGAUCGGGAGGAAUACCAGUGGCGUAGGCUCCCUUCUGGACGGUAACUGACGCUGAGACGCGAAAGCGUGGGGAGCAAACAG
Molecule: ribosomal RNA, 428 nt
Filed under: uncultured bacterium
Lineage: Bacteria
Description: bacterial SSU rRNA
Rfam family: Bacterial small subunit ribosomal RNA
Source: RNAcentral